UCUAGCCGACAGCUAGCUCUCUGCAAUCUCACAUGGUCGCCCACUGAAGCUAAGCAGGGCUGUGCCUGGUCAGUACCUGGAUGGGAGACCACAUGGGAAAGCUAGUUUGUAGCUAAAA
This 118-nucleotide ribosomal RNA is filed under the name Danio rerio (zebrafish). The record is from RNAcentral. Lineage: Eukaryota; Metazoa; Chordata; Actinopteri; Cypriniformes; Danionidae.